UGGGGAAUAUUGCACAAUGGGGGAAACCCUGAUGCAGCGACGCUGCGUGAACGAAGAAGGUAUUCGUAUCGUAAAGUUCUGUCCUAUGGGAAGAUAAUGACAGUACCAUAGAAGAAAGCUCCGGCUAAAUACGUGCCAGCAGCCGUGGUAAUACGUAUGGAGCGAGCGUUGUCCGGAAUUAUUGGGCGUAAAGGGUACGCAGGCGGUUUAAUAAGUCGAAUGUUAAAGAUCGGGGCUCAACCCCGCAAAGCAUUGGAAACUGAUAAACUUGAGUAGUGGAGAGGAAAGUGGAAUUCCUAGUGUAGUGGUGAAAUACGUAGAUAUUAGGAGGAAUACCAGUAGCGAAGGCGACUUUCUGGACACAAACUGACGCUGAGGUACGAAAGCGUGGGGAGCAAACAGG
Molecule: ribosomal RNA, 403 nt
Filed under: bacterium
Lineage: Bacteria
Description: partial 16S ribosomal RNA
Rfam family: Bacterial small subunit ribosomal RNA
Source: RNAcentral